UGCUGGACCCAGUUUCGUUAUCUGAUCUGAAUUUUCUGAAAUGUGCAAGGUAGAUAGACAUUGGCCUUUUGAUUUUUUUUUACUCGGUAAGUUUUGGCCUAAUUGGUUGAACUUUUUCAAUAUUAAAGCCGAUUUCAAUGAGUGUGUAGACAAAGGGAAUAUCCUUGGUUAUCUUGCUUGCAGAACAGAAAAGACAUUGUUAGGUUAUGUAAACUACCCUACUUUAAGAGUAGACUAGUCCGACAAAUGACAC
RNAcentral lists this long non-coding RNA (253 nucleotides) under Mytilus galloprovincialis (Mediterranean mussel). Lineage: Eukaryota; Metazoa; Mollusca; Bivalvia; Mytilida; Mytilidae. The record is from RNAcentral.